AUUGAACGCUGGCGGCAGGCCUAACACAUGCAAGUCGAGCGGAUGAAGGGAGCUUGCUCCUGGAUUCAGCGGCGGACGGGUGAGUAAUGCCUAGGAAUCUGCCUGGUAGUGGGGGAUAACGUCCGGAAACGGGCGCUAAUACCGCAUACGUCCUGAGGGAGAAAGUGGGGGAUCUUCGGACCUCACGCUAUCAGAUGAGCCUAGGUCGGAUUAGCUAGUUGGUGGGGUAAAGGCCUACCAAGGCGACGAUCCGUAACUGGUCUGAGAGGAUGAUCAGUCACACUGGAACUGAGACACGGUCCAGACUCCUACGGGAGGCAGCAGUGGGGAAUAUUGGACAAUGGGCGAAAGCUUGAUCCAGCCAUGCCGCGUGUGUGAAGAAGGUCUUCGGAUUGUAAAGCACUUUAAGUUGGGAGGAAGGGCAGUAAGUUAAUACCUUGCUGUUUUGACGUUACCGACAGAAUAAGCACCGGCUAACUUCGUG
RNAcentral lists this ribosomal RNA (484 nucleotides) under uncultured bacterium. RNAcentral describes it as "partial 16S ribosomal RNA". It matches the Rfam family "Bacterial small subunit ribosomal RNA", at positions 30 to 507 of the family's 1533-position model. The record is from RNAcentral.